GGUUAAGCGACUAAGCGUACACGGUGGAUGCCCUGGCAGUCAGAGGCGAUGAAGGACGUGCUAAUCUGCGAAAAGCGUCGGUAAGGUGAUAUGAACCGUUAUAGCCGGCGAUGUCCGAAUGGGGAAACCCAGUGCAAUUCGUUGCACUAUCGUUAACUGAAUACAUAGGUUAACGAGGCGAACCGGGGGAACUGAAACAUCUAAGUACCCCGAGGAAAAGAAAUCAACCGAGAUUCCCCCAGUAGCGGCGAGCGAACGGGGAGCAGCCCAGAGUCUGAAUCAGCUUGUGUGUUAGUGGAACGGUCUGGAAAGUCCGACGGUACAGGGUGAUAGUCCCGUACACCAAAAUGCACAGGUUGUGAACUCGAAGAGUAGGGCGGGACACGUGGUAUCCUGUCUGAAUAUGGGGGGACCAUCCUCCAAGGCUAAAUACUCCUGACUGACCGAUAGUGAACCAGUACCGUGAGGGAAAGGCGAAAAGAACCCCGGCGAGGGGAGUGAAAAAGAACCUGAAACCGUGUACGUACAAGCAGUGGGAGCACCUUCGGGUGUGACUGCGUACCUUUUGUAUAAUGGGUCAGCGACUUAUAUUCUGUAGCAAGGUUAACCGUAUAGGGGAGCCGCAGGGAAACCGAGUCUUAACUGGGCGUUAAGUUGCAGGGUAUAGACCCGAAACCCGGUGAUCUAGCCAUGGGCAGGUUGAAGGUUGGGUAACACUAACUGGAGGACCGAACCGACUAAUGUUGAAAAAUUAGCGGAUGACUUGUGGCUGGGGGUGAAAGGCCAAUCAAACCGGGAGAUAGCUGGUUCUCCCCGAAAGCUAUUUAGGUAGCGCCUCGUGAAUUCAUCUUCGGGGGUAGAGCACUGUUUCGGCUAGGGGGUCAUCCCGACUUACCAACCCGAUGCAAACUACGAAUACCGAAGAAUGUUAUCACGGGAGACACACGGCGGGUGCUAACGUCCGUCGUGAAGAGGGAAACAACCCAGACCGCCAGCUAAGGUCCCAAAGUCAUGGUUAAGUGGGAAACGAUGUGGGAAGGCACAGACAGCCAGGAUGUUGGCUUAGAAGCAGCCAUCAUUUAAAGAAAGCGUAAUAGCUCACUGGUCGAGUCGGCCUGCGCGGAAGAUGUAACGGGGCUAAACCAUGCACCGAAGCUGCGGCAGCGACACUAUGUGUUGUUGGGUAGGGGAGCGUUCUGUAAGCCUGCGAAGGUGACCUGUGAGGGUUGCUGGAGGUAUCAGAAGUGCGAAUGCUGACAUAAGUAACGAUAAAGCGGGUGAAAAGCCCGCUCGCCGGAAGACCAAGGGUUCCUGUCCAACGUUAAUCGGGGCAGGGUGAGUCGACCCCUAAGGCGAGGCCGAAAGGCGUAGUCGAUGGGAAACAGGUUAAUAUUCCUGUACUUGGUGUUACUGCGAAGGGGGGACGGAGAAGGCUAUGUUAGCCGGGCGACGGUUGUCCCGGUUUAAGCAUGUAGGCUGGUUAUCCAGGCAAAUCCGGAUAAUCAAGGCUGAGGUGUGAUGACGAAGCACUACGGUGCUGAAGUAACAAAUGCCCUGCUUCCAGGAAAAGCCUCUAAGCAUCAGGUAACAUCAAAUCGUACCCCAAACCGACACAGGUGGUCAGGUAGAGAAUACCAAGGCGCUUGAGAGAACUCGGGUGAAGGAACUAGGCAAAAUGGUGCCGUAACUUCGGGAGAAGGCACGCUGGUGUGUAGGUGAAGCCCCUGCGGGUGGAGCUGAGACCAGUCGAAGAUACCAGCUGGCUGCAACUGUUUAUUAAAAACACAGCACUGUGCAAACACGAAAGUGGACGUAUACGGUGUGACGCCUGCCCGGUGCCGGAAGGUUAAUUGAUGGGGUUAUCCGUAAGGAGAAGCUCUUGAUCGAAGCCCCGGUAAACGGCGGCCGUAACUAUAACGGUCCUAAGGUAGCGAAAUUCCUUGUCGGGUAAGUUCCGACCUGCACGAAUGGCGUAAUGAUGGCCAGGCUGUCUCCACCCGAGACUCAGUGAAAUUGAACUCGCUGUGAAGAUGCAGUGUACCCGCGGCAAGACGGAAAGACCCCGUGAACCUUUACUAUAGCUUGACACUGAACAUUGAGCCUUGAUGUGUAGGAUAGGUGGGAGGCUUUGAAGCGUGGACGCCAGUCUGCGUGGAGCCAACCUUGAAAUACCACCCUUUAAUGUUUGAUGUUCUAACGUUGGCCCCUGACCGGGGUUGCGGACAGUGUCUGGUGGGUAGUUUGACUGGGGCGGUCUCCUCCCAAAGCGUAACGGAGGAGCACGAAGGUUAGCUAAUCCUGGUCGGACAUCAGGAGGUUAGUGCAAUGGCAUAAGCUAGCUUGACUGCGAGCGUGACGGCGCGAGCAGGUGCGAAAGCAGGUCAUAGUGAUCCGGUGGUUCUGAAUGGAAGGGCCAUCGCUCAACGGAUAAAAGGUACUCCGGGGAUAACAGGCUGAUACCGCCCAAGAGUUCAUAUCGACGGCGGUGUUUGGCACCUCGAUGUCGGCUCAUCACAUCCUGGGGCUGAAGUAGGUCCCAAGGGUAUGGCUGUUCGCCAUUUAAAGUGGUACGCGAGCUGGGUUUAGAACGUCGUGAGACAGUUCGGUCCCUAUCUGCCGUGGGCGCUGGAGAAUUGAGGGGGGCUGCUCCUAGUACGAGAGGACCGGAGUGGACGCAUCACUGGUGUUCGGGUUGUCAUGCCAAUGGCACUGCCCGGUAGCUAAAUGCGGAAGAGAUAAGUGCUGAAAGCAUCUAAGCACGAAACUUGCCCCGAGAUGAGUUCUCCCUGAGACUUUAAGUCUCCUGAAGGAACGUUGAAGACGACGACGUUGAUAGGCCGGGUGUGUAAGCGCAGCGAUGCGUUGAGCUAACCGGUACUAAUGAACCGUGAGGCUUAACCUU
Molecule: ribosomal RNA, 2902 nt
Filed under: Klebsiella quasipneumoniae
Lineage: Bacteria; Pseudomonadati; Pseudomonadota; Gammaproteobacteria; Enterobacterales; Enterobacteriaceae
Description: 23S ribosomal RNA
Rfam family: Bacterial large subunit ribosomal RNA
Source: RNAcentral